Molecule: ribosomal RNA, 1438 nt
Filed under: uncultured organism
Description: SSU rRNA
Rfam family: Bacterial small subunit ribosomal RNA
Source: RNAcentral
CUUAACACAUGCAAGUCGAGGGGCAGCGGGGGUAGCAAUACCCGCCGGCGACCGGCGCACGGGUGAGUAACGCGUAUGCAACUUACCUAUCAGAGGGGGAUAACCCGGCGAAAGUCGGACUAAUACCGCAUGAAGCAGGGGCCCCGCAUGGGGAUAUUUGCUAAAGAUUCAUCGCUGAUAGAUAGGCAUGCGUUCCAUUAGGCAGUUGGCGGGGUAACGGCCCACCAAACCGACGAUGGAUAGGGGUUCUGAGAGGAAGGUCCCCCACAUUGGUACUGAGACACGGACCAAACUCCUACGGGAGGCAGCAGUGAGGAAUAUUGGUCAAUGGCCGAGAGGCUGAACCAGCCAAGUCGCGUGAGGGAUGAAGGUUCUAUGGAUCGUAAACCUCUUUUAUAAGGGAAUAAAGUGCGGGACGUGUCCCGUUUUGUAUGUACCUUAUGAAUAAGGAUCGGCUAACUCCGUGCCAGCAGCCGCGGUAAUACGGAGGAUCCGAGCGUUAUCCGGAUUUAUUGGGUUUAAAGGGUGCGUAGGCGGCCUUUUAAGUCAGCGGUGAAAGUCUGUGGCUCAACCAUAGAAUUGCCGUUGAAACUGGGGGGCUUGAGUAUGUUUGAGGCAGGCGGAAUGCGUGGUGUAGCGGUGAAAUGCAUAGAUAUCACGCAGAACCCCGAUUGCGAAGGCAGCCUGCCAAGCCAUUACUGACGCUGAUGCACGAAAGCGUGGGGAUCAAACAGGAUUAGAUACCCUGGUAGUCCACGCAGUAAACGAUGAUCACUAGCUGUUUGCGAUACACUGUAAGCGGCACAGCGAAAGCGUUAAGUGAUCCACCUGGGGAGUACGCCGGCAACGGUGAAACUCAAAGGAAUUGACGGGGGCCCGCACAAGCGGAGGAACAUGUGGUUUAAUUCGAUGAUACGCGAGGAACCUUACCCGGGUUUGAACGCAUUCGGACCGAGGUGGAAACACCUUUUCUAGCAAUAGCCGUUUGCGAGGUGCUGCAUGGUUGUCGUCAGCUCGUGCCGUGAGGUGUCGGCUUAAGUGCCAUAACGAGCGCAACCCUUGCCACUAGUUACUAACAGGUAAAGCUGAGGACUCUGGUGGGACUGCCAGCGUAAGCUGCGAGGAAGGCGGGGAUGACGUCAAAUCAGCACGGCCCUUACAUCCGGGGCGACACACGUGUUACAAUGGCGUGGACAAAGGGAGGCCACCUGGCGACAGGGAGCGAAUCCCCAAACCACGUCUCAGUUCGGAUCGGAGUCUGCAACCCGACUCCGUGAAGCUGGAUUCGCUAGUAAUCGCGCAUCAGCCAUGGCGCGGUGAAUACGUUCCCGGGCCUUGUACACACCGCCCGUCAAGCCAUGGGAGCCGGGGGUACCUGAAGUCCGUAACCGAAAGGAUCGGCCUAGGGUAAAACUGGUGACUGGGGCUAAGUCAUAAC